RNAcentral lists this ribosomal RNA (250 nucleotides) under uncultured bacterium. RNAcentral's name for it is "partial 16S ribosomal RNA". It matches the Rfam family "Bacterial small subunit ribosomal RNA", at positions 524 to 773 of the family's 1533-position model. The record is from RNAcentral.
UACGUAGGGUGCAAGCGUUAAUCGGAAUUACUGGGCGUAAAGCGUGCGCAGGCGGUUCGGAAAGAAAGAUGUGAAAUCCCAGAGCUUAACUUUGGAACUGCAUUUUUAACUACCGGGCUAGAGUGUGUCAGAGGGAGGUGGAAUUCCGCGUGUAGCAGUGAAAUGCGUAGAUAUGCGGAGGAACACCGAUGGCGAAGGCAGCCUCCUGGGAUAACACUGACGCUCAUGCACGAAAGCGUGGGGAGCAAAC